Molecule: RNA transcript, 1161 nt
Organism: Neodiprion virginianus
Lineage: Eukaryota; Metazoa; Arthropoda; Insecta; Hymenoptera; Diprionidae
Exons: 5
Source: RefSeq, a predicted model, not a curated record
CCGCAGUGCUAUAUGUACAGAGAAAACGUCAAUCGGCUUCGUUCCUUGUAUCGGAAACUGUGAGGAGAUACGACGGAAAUUUCACUAUCCUGUAGCAAGCACUAAAGCAUGCGGUUCAACGCCACGAGGCAAACGGAUCAGGUAUAUUGAAACAUGCGUUUUGUACGGUGGAGUUACGAAUAGUCUCUGCGGUGGGAAUACCUUGCAAAUGUCCUCGUGCUUCUCGUGUGGAUAUUUUCUCAAGAAACUUCGGAUCCGCCGCAAAAGGGCUCCAACUCCCGCAAGCGCCGAUACUUCAGCUGCUGGAGGCGAACGUCGAAGAGAAGAUUUACCGGAAAUGCCGAAUCCCAUGCAGGUCCAACAGCUACGGACGCACAAGAAUAACAAAUACGAUGUGACUCUGCUCCACCCCGACUGGCGAAAAUUUCCUCACACACCACUUUACGGAUGGACAAACAUUCACGCGCAGCAGUUGACGAAACUGAACCGAAUGAUAGUCAAGGGAAACUUAGAGUCGGCUUACUACAAUUCGGAUAUCGAGUAUCGGGCGGCAAAAUUUGGAAAUAAUUUCACUGUUCUACCACCACCGAACGUCAGCAGCGUGACCGAAGUUGUUCUUCUACUACGCCGAAGUCAGAACUCCGAGUACAAUUUCUGCUGCAGCGAAACACUGGCUGAGUACGACGCGGAUGACGAGUCAGUGCACGUGGUUGGACGUGGAAACGUUGCGACUAGUUUUGUUUCUUCAACGGUGGAUUACGCAGUCCGGGCGUAAUUAUUAAUCAAUUACGCUCGAGAUAGCCCGCCGGGCAAGCGGACAGCAUUGCGAGAAAACAGCAUGAGAUCGCAGCGAUAUUACAAUCACGACAAGCCUCGACGACACAUUAGACAACAAACUGCGGUAUAACUUGUUCGAAGCAUGGACUUUCGAGAGGUAUUUCGUAUCGGAUAGUCACGGAAAACGGUCAAGCUGAAGAUCGAUGAUUGUAGAGAAAAAAAGUUGAAAUCUUAAGCAUUGUCCAGAACCGCAGGCGUGAUUCAUCCGUCAUAAGUGCAGACAAGUAUCCACGCCAGGUCACCGUUCUUUGUUCUCGUUCUUACAAAUAUUUGUUACCUUGUGCAUUUCGUGAGAUGAAAAAUACAGAACGAUUAAUAUAAGAU